UCUGUAAGAACCAGCUUAUCCACGCUCUCCGAUCUCGUGUCUGUUUCUCUUUCUCUCUCCCUCUACUUGCGCUGUCCCUCAUUCAUUCACUCUUCCAUCUUUUUGCCAUUGUGCCAGCUCAAUUUAAAUGUAUCUGCUCUGUAUCUGUUCAAGUGGAGAUAUUCCAUGCAAAUCAGGAGCAGGGGCUUUCCAUGCUUGGUUCACAGAGAGGACUCGGCUUGAGGAGGUCACUCGUUCACAGCCGCUCCUCCCAUUAUAUUUUUCCCCUUAUUGCAGAACUGCUGUAUGUAUACAGUGACUGAAAGGACUCAAUUUACUGCAGCUGCCGCCUGGCUUUACUUACAACUUUUUUUUUUUUUUUUUUUAUAAAGGAACUUACCUCCAUCUGUCUUUUCAAGAAAUAUAGUCAUCAAUCCAGACAGUUAUAUCUUCAGAUCCUCAGGUUCUAAUAAAGGGUAGAAAGAGUCCCUUUAACUCCUGAAGACAGUAAAUCACAGUUUGUGUGGUGGUUCUCAGAAGACACUUAAAGGGCUGAAUUGGAUGCUCUACAUAGCACCCUUGCCAAAAGAGUUCGGAAAUGACUUCCAGCUUCCCACAGUAAUAAAAUGGCACUGUUUGGCAUCUUUAAGGUCUCAGACAACUCAGCUCUGAACCACACAACUAAUUCUGA
Lontra canadensis (Northern American river otter) is the source of this 670-nucleotide long non-coding RNA. RefSeq lists it as uncharacterized. The record is from RefSeq and is a predicted model, not a curated record. The transcript has 4 exons. Lineage: Eukaryota; Metazoa; Chordata; Mammalia; Carnivora; Mustelidae.